GGGAUUGCCCUAGUAACGGCGAGUGAAGCGGCAACAGCUCAAAUUUGAAAUCUGGCCCCUUCGGGGCCCGAGUUGUAAUUUGUAGAGGGUGCUUUGGCGUUGGCCAUGGUCUAAGUUCCUUGGAACAGGACGUCACAGAGGGUGAGAAUCCCGUACGUGGCCGCUGGCCUUCACCAUGUAAAGCCCCUUCGACGAGUCGAGUUGUUUGGGAAUGCAGCUCUAAAUGGGAGGUAAAUUUCUUCUAAAGCUAAAUAUUGGCCAGAGACCGAUAGCGCACAAGUAGAGUGAUCGAAAGAUGAAAAGCACUUUGGAAAGAGAGUCAAAAAGCACGUGAAAUUGUUGAAAGGGAAGCGCUUGCAGCCAGACUUGCCCGUAGUCGCUCAUCUAGGCUUCUGCCUGGUGCACUCUUCUGCGGGCAGGCCAGCAUCAGUUCAGGCGGUCGGAUAAAGGUCUUGGGAAUGUGGCUCUCUUCGGGGAGUGUUAUAGCCCGUGGCGCAAUGCGACCAGCCUGGACUGAGGUCCGCGCAUCUGCUAGGAUGCUGGCGUAAUGGCUGUAAGCGGCCCGUCUUGAAACACGGACCAAGGAGUCUAACAUCUAUGCGAGUGUUUGGGUGUCAAGCCCGAGCGCGCAAUGAAAGUGAACGGAGGUGGGAACCCGCAAGGGCGCACCAUCGACCGAUCCUGAUGUCUUCGGAUGGAUUUGAGUAAGAGCAUAGCUGUUGGGACCCGAAAGAUGGUGAACUAUGCCUGAAUAGGGUGAAGCCAGAGGAAACUCUGGUGGAGGCUCGCAGCGGUUCUGACGUGCAAAUCGAUCGUCAAAUUUGGGCAUAGGGGCGAAAGACUAAUCGAACUAUCUAGUAGCUGGUUCCUGC
This 872-nucleotide ribosomal RNA is filed under the name Lindgomyces aquaticus. RNAcentral describes it as "Lindgomyces sp. WD-2020a partial large subunit ribosomal RNA". It matches the Rfam family "Eukaryotic large subunit ribosomal RNA", at positions 71 to 961 of the family's 3401-position model. Lineage: Eukaryota; Fungi; Ascomycota; Dothideomycetes; Pleosporales; Lindgomycetaceae. The record is from RNAcentral.